GUGCUUGCUUCAACCGCACAUAUGCUAAAAUUGAAAGGAUAUCGAGAAGAUUAGCGUGGCCCCUGUGCAAGGAUGACAUACAAAUUCAUGAAGCGUUCCAUACUUUU
This is a small nuclear RNA of Dama dama (fallow deer), 107 nucleotides long. Lineage: Eukaryota; Metazoa; Chordata; Mammalia; Artiodactyla; Cervidae. The record is from RefSeq and is a predicted model, not a curated record.